ACGGAAGGCAGCAGUGGGGAAUAUUGCACAAUGGGGGAAACCCUGAUGCAGCAACGCCGCGUGAGUGAUGACGGUCUUCGGAUUGUAAAGCUCUGUCUUUAGGGACGAUAAUGCCGGUACCUAAGGAGGAAGCCACGGCUAACUACGUGCCAGCAGCCGCGGUAAUACGUCGGUGGCAAGCGUUGUCCGGAUUUACUGGGCGUAAAGGGAGCGUAGGUGGAUAUUUAAGUGGGAUGUGAAAUACCCGGGCUUAACCUGGGUGCUGCAUUCCAAACUGGAUAUCUAGAGUGCAGGAGAGGAAAGGAGAAUUCCUAGUGUAGCGGUGAAAUGCGUAGAGAUUAGGAAGAAUACCAGUGGCGAAGGCGCCUUUCUGGACUGUAACUGACACUGAGGCUCGAAAGCGUGGGGAGCAAACAGGAUUAGAUACCCUGGUA
RNAcentral lists this ribosomal RNA (434 nucleotides) under uncultured Clostridium sp. Its description in RNAcentral is "partial 16S ribosomal RNA". It matches the Rfam family "Bacterial small subunit ribosomal RNA", at positions 341 to 792 of the family's 1533-position model. Lineage: Bacteria; Bacillati; Bacillota; Clostridia; Eubacteriales; Clostridiaceae. The record is from RNAcentral.